RNAcentral lists this ribosomal RNA (866 nucleotides) under Streptococcus agalactiae. RNAcentral describes it as "bacterial SSU rRNA". It matches the Rfam family "Bacterial small subunit ribosomal RNA", at positions 26 to 874 of the family's 1533-position model. Lineage: Bacteria; Bacillati; Bacillota; Bacilli; Lactobacillales; Streptococcaceae. The record is from RNAcentral.
AGGACGAACGCUGGCGGCGUGCCUAAUACAUGCAAGUAGAACGCUGAGGUUNGGUGUUUACACUAGACUGAUGAGUUGCGAACGGGUGAGUAACGCGUAGGUAACCUGCCUCAUAGCGGGGGAUAACUAUUGGAAACGAUAGCUAAUACCGCAUAAGAGUAAUUAACACAUGUUAGUUAUUUAAAAGGAGCAAUUGCUUCACUGUGAGAUGGACCUGCGUUGUAUUAGCUAGUUGGUGAGGUAAAGGCUCACCAAGGCGACGAUACAAAGCCGACCUGAGAGGGUGAUCGGCCACACUGGGACUGAGACACGGCCCAGACUCCUACGGGAGGCAGCAGUAGGGAAUCUUCGGCAAUGGACGGAAGUCUGACCGAGCAACGCCGCGUGAGUGAAGAAGGUUUUCGGAUCGUAAAGCUCUGUUGUUAGAGAAGAACGUUGGUAGGAGUGGAAAAUCUACCAAGUGACGGUAACUAACCAGAAAGGGACGGCUAACUACGUGCCAGCAGCCGCGGUAAUACGUAGGUCCCGAGCGUUGUCCGGAUUUAUUGGGCGUAAAGCGAGCGCAGGCGGUUCUUUAAGUCUGAAGUUAAAGGCAGUGGCUUAACCAUUGUACGCUUUGGAAACUGGAGGACUUGAGUGCAGAAGGGGAGAGUGGAAUUCCAUGUGUAGCGGUGAAAUGCGUAGAUAUAUGGAGGAACACCGGUGGCGAAAGCGGCUCUCUGGUCUGUAACUGACGCUGAGGCUCGAAAGCGUGGGGAGCAAACAGGAUUAGAUACCCUGGUAGUCCACGCCGUAAACGAUGAGUGCUAGGUGUUAGGCCCUUUCCGGGGCUUAGUGCCGCAGCUAACGCAUUAAUCACUCCGCCU